GGGCUUCCAUCUAUGGGGUCACAGAGAGUCGGACACGACUGAAGUGACUUAGCAGCAGCAGCAGCAACUUCAUGCUAAGAGCAGUUUGGAGAGAGUUUGACAGAACAGGUCAGCAUAAUAUCUGCAACUUCCAUUUGUCUUUCCUGUAAUA
RNAcentral lists this small nucleolar RNA (151 nucleotides) under Moschus moschiferus (Siberian musk deer). RNAcentral describes it as "Small nucleolar RNA SNORA44 (ENSMMSG00000020285.1)". It matches the Rfam family "Small nucleolar RNA SNORA44". Rfam says of the family: ACA44 is a member of the H/ACA class of snoRNA that guide the sites of modification of uridines to pseudouridines. Lineage: Eukaryota; Metazoa; Chordata; Mammalia; Artiodactyla; Moschidae. The record is from Rfam by way of RNAcentral.